Non-coding RNA from Ceratotherium simum simum (southern white rhinoceros), 549 nucleotides. Lineage: Eukaryota; Metazoa; Chordata; Mammalia; Perissodactyla; Rhinocerotidae. The record is from RefSeq and is a predicted model, not a curated record.
AGCAGGAGGACUGUUUCUCAGAUUCUGCUUCUCUUUGGGACUUGGCAUCAACGCUUGGCUCCAAGGACCCAUUAAAAUGCUAAUGAAGGAAUAUGAAAAAGGUAUAACCGCACAACAUGAAGAGAAUUGAGGAUCAGGAAUCAGUGGACUGUGGGAGAAGGAAGCCCGAAGGUGAUAAGGUCCUGUCUGAAGGAGCUAAUGCACACCCAGGGAGCAGCCCAGCUCUGGUCAAUGAAAUAAAAUGUCCAGAGCUGUCCUCUUUAUGUUUUAUAUGGCAACACACUUUUAUGUGUGAUUAAGAAACAAAACAACAAAGGGAGGAAUGUACUGAGCUUAUCAAAGUACAAUAGUUGCUGCUUCACCAGAAAAACUAGUGCUUUCAUUCUAUUUCUGGCGCUGUUAGGCUGACCCUGGGGAACCAAAGACGCUUUGCUCUCAAAUAAAGAUUAACACUUAACAGCUGUAGUCAGCUCAUGGCAAAACUGUGAAAUAGGCAAAAUUUGUCAUUAGGACUUUUCCUUCAUCCCUUGCUGGGUAUUUCUUCUUACU